This 253-nucleotide ribosomal RNA is filed under the name uncultured bacterium. RNAcentral describes it as "partial 16S ribosomal RNA". It matches the Rfam family "Bacterial small subunit ribosomal RNA", at positions 524 to 776 of the family's 1533-position model. The record is from RNAcentral.
UACGUAGGGUGCGAGCGUUAAUCGGAAUUACUGGGCGUAAAGCGUGCGCAGGCGGUUCGUUAAGUCAGAUGUGAAAUCCCCGGGCUCAACCUGGGAACUGCAUUUGUGACUGUAUAGCUAGAGUACGGUAGAGGGGGAUGGAAUUCCGCGUGUAGCAGUGAAAUGCGUAGAUAUGCGGAGGAACACCGAUGGCGAAGGCAAUCCCCUGGACCUGUACUGACGCUCAUGCACGAAAGCGUGGGGAGCAAACAGG